This 300-nucleotide signal recognition particle RNA is filed under the name Zostera marina. Its description in RNAcentral is "Plant signal recognition particle RNA". It matches the Rfam family "Plant signal recognition particle RNA". Lineage: Eukaryota; Viridiplantae; Streptophyta; Magnoliopsida; Alismatales; Zosteraceae. The record is from Rfam by way of RNAcentral.
GAUGAGCUCGGUAACGUGGGCUUGUCACCAACUAGAGCAUUAAGGUAUUUGAAUAAUUUGGUAUUGAAUUCAAGGUUUACAUUAUGAGCUAGCUUUGAUUUGCCCGUUUCCAAGUUGGGCAGUGGAUUCUAUGUUUCAGUCUAACGCUUGAAUCAUAUUCUCCCUAAACUUGAGGGUAAUGCGUGAGGCUGGUUUCACAGAUCAGCGAUUACCUCUCACUCUCAACGGUGGAAGGAUUACAACUCAUUUGCUCAUAUUGUCAAUUAGCCUUGGAAUCCACCAAAUUCAACAAAUAUUUUU